RNAcentral lists this transfer-messenger RNA (362 nucleotides) under Spirochaetaceae bacterium. It matches the Rfam family "transfer-messenger RNA". From Rfam's summary of the family: Bacterial tmRNA, also known as 10Sa RNA or SsrA, is named for its dual tRNA and mRNA-like properties. Its role is to liberate the mRNA from a stalled ribosome. The record is from RNAcentral. Lineage: Bacteria; Pseudomonadati; Spirochaetota; Spirochaetia; Spirochaetales; Spirochaetaceae.
GGGGGUGCACCGGUUUCGACUGGUACGGUUCGGGAUACAGGCUGCAGGUGGAGCGGACGAAAGUCCACGCCGAUCUCCUUAACUCGGCAAAAAAUUUAACUGCCGACAACGACAGUUACGCUCUCGCCGCGUAAGCGCGGGAACGCGGAAACCAGUCCCGCCGCCUUGAGGGGCUGAAUUUCCGUCGCAAUCAGGGCUGGCCGUUUCUUCGCGUCCGGAGGAGGAAUGGUAAGAUUAUUCGGAAUACGGAGAGGCCGCGUGCUGUCUAGCCAAGCCUUUCCCGACAAUCCAAUAGGCGGCUAAACCUGUAGACGUCUGUGUGUCGCGUAUUAGGACGCGGGUUCAAUUCCCGCCACCUCCAG